CAAUAGCGUAUAUUUAAGUUGUUGCAGUUAAAAAGCUCGUAGUUGGAUUUCGGGUGGGACGCAGCGGUCUCGCAUUGCGUUUGUACUGCUGCAGCCCUCCUUCUUGCCGGGGGCGGCCUCUCGGACUUCACUGUCUGGGGGUCAGAAUCGGCGAUGUUACUUUGAGUAAAUUAGAGUGUUCAAAGCAAGCUUACGCUCUGAAUAUAAUAGCAUGGGAUAACACGACAGGACUCUGGCCUAUCGUGUUGGUCUAUAGGACCAGAGUAAUGAUUAAGAGGGACAGUCGGGGGCAUUCGUAUUUCAUUGUCAGAGGUGAAAUUCUUGGAUUUAUGAAAGACGAACUUCUGCGAAAGCAUUUGUCAAGGAUGUCUUCAUUAA
Molecule: ribosomal RNA, 378 nt
Filed under: uncultured eukaryote
Lineage: Eukaryota
Description: partial 18S ribosomal RNA
Rfam family: Eukaryotic small subunit ribosomal RNA
Source: RNAcentral